Molecule: long non-coding RNA, 206 nt
Organism: Mytilus trossulus (common blue mussel)
Lineage: Eukaryota; Metazoa; Mollusca; Bivalvia; Mytilida; Mytilidae
Exons: 3
Source: RefSeq, a predicted model, not a curated record
AAAGUGGUGAAAAAACGCAGCUGAGAUGCUGUCAAGGAUAUAGACUGGAUUCGAAUUCACAAGAUUGCAUUGAUUGUCCUAAUGGGACAUAUGGUGUAAACUGCAAGGAUGAGUGUUCAGACAAUUAUUACGGCCUUAGAUGUAAUUACGUAUGUCGUUGCUUUGCAAAUGAAACUUGUAAUAAAGCUAUCGGUUGCGUGGGACAA